Molecule: ribosomal RNA, 876 nt
Filed under: Epicoccum pruni
Lineage: Eukaryota; Fungi; Ascomycota; Dothideomycetes; Pleosporales; Didymellaceae
Also listed under: 1 other name
Description: eukaryotic LSU rRNA
Rfam family: Eukaryotic large subunit ribosomal RNA
Source: RNAcentral
ACAGGGAUUGCCCUAGUAACGGCGAGUGAAGCGGCAACAGCUCAAAUUUGAAAUCUGGCGUCUUUGGCGUCCGAGUUGUAAUUUGCAGAGGGCGCUUUGGCAUUGGCAGCGGUCCAAGUUCCUUGGAACAGGACGUCACAGAGGGUGAGAAUCCCGUACGUGGUCGCUAGCCUUUACCGUGUAAAGCCCCUUCGACGAGUCGAGUUGUUUGGGAAUGCAGCUCUAAAUGGGAGGUAAAUUUCUUCUAAAGCUAAAUACUGGCCAGAGACCGAUAGCGCACAAGUAGAGUGAUCGAAAGAUGAAAAGCACUUUGGAAAGAGAGUUAAAAAGCACGUGAAAUUGUUGAAAGGGAAGCGCUUGCAGCCAGACUUGCCUGUAGUUGCUCAUCCGGGUUUCUACCCGGUGCACUCUUCUAUAGGCAGGCCAGCAUCAGUUUGGGCGGUUGGAUAAAGGUCUCUGUCAUGUACCUCCUUUCGGGGAGAACUUAUAGGGGAGACGACAUGCAACCAGCCUGGACUGAGGUCCGCGCAUCUGCUAGGAUGCUGGCGUAAUGGCUGUAAGCGGCCCGUCUUGAAACACGGACCAAGGAGUCUAACAUCUAUGCGAGUGUUUGGGUGUCAAGCCCGAGCGCGUAAUGAAAGUGAACGGAGGUGGGAACCUUUCGGGGUGCACCAUCGACCGAUCCUGAUGUCUUCGGAUGGAUUUGAGUAAGAGCAUAGCUGUUGGGACCCGAAAGAUGGUGAACUAUGCUUGAAUAGGGUGAAGCCAGAGGAAACUCUGGUGGAGGCUCGCAGCGGUUCUGACGUGCAAAUCGAUCGUCAAAUUUGGGCAUAGGGGCGAAAGACUAAUCGAACUAUCUAGUAGCUGGUUCCUGCC